This 551-nucleotide ribosomal RNA is filed under the name Microhyla ornata (ornate rice frog). RNAcentral's name for it is "partial 16S ribosomal RNA". It matches the Rfam family "Bacterial large subunit ribosomal RNA", at positions 1832 to 2597 of the family's 2925-position model. The record is from RNAcentral. Lineage: Eukaryota; Metazoa; Chordata; Amphibia; Anura; Microhylidae.
CGCCUCCUGAUCAUCCAUAGGAGGUCCAGCCUGCCCAGUGACUAAGUUAAACGGCCGCGGUACCCUAACCGUGCAAAGGUAGCGCAAUCACUUGUUCUUUAAAUGAGGACUAGUAUGAACGGCAUCACGAGGGUUAUGCUGUCUCCCUACUCUACUCAGUGAAACUGAUCUCCCCGUGAAGAAGCGGGGAUAAAAAUAUAAGACGAGAAGACCCCAUGGAGCUUUAAACUCAGUACCAACUGCCCAAAUAAGAACCUACCACCCUUGCAGCCAUGGUUACUAGUUUUCGGUUGGGGUGACCACGGAGUAAAAUUAAACCUCCACGAUGAAAGGAACUAAUAACCUAACCUAUGAGCUACAGCUCUAAGUAUCAACAAAUUGACUAAUUGACCCAAUUACUUGAUCAACGAACCAAGUUACCCUGGGGAUAACAGCGCAAUCCAUUUCAAGAGCUCAUAUCGACAAAUGGGUUUACGACCUCGAUGUUGGAUCAGGGUAUCCCAGUGGCGCAGCCGCUACUAACGGUUCGUUUGUUCAACGAUUAAAACCCU